UAAAUAUAUCGUUUCGUAUAUUACAUAUAAUUCUUGUAACGAUUAAAAAAACGAAUGCAUUAAAUAUGUAUAUAUAAUUUGUCAAAUGGAAUAAAAAAAAAAAAAAAAAAAAAAUGGCCACUGUAAAGACCGAAUCAUUAAAUACGUGCAAGAAAAUUAUGCAAAAUGUCCUAGACAAUGUUUUUAAAGAAGGAGAAUUAGAUAAGUGCUAUUUUCUCAUCGAACAAGCAAAACCAGAUUAUGAAAGCUUUUCUUUAUGUAAAAUAAAAUUUAGAAAUGAAUUAAUGUUAAAAUUAAAUGAUUCUGAUUUUAAGGAACAGGAAUCUUUUAAUUUAGUAUUUAAUAAUCCUGAGAUAAUAAAUAAAAAAAAUAAGAAUAAAAUAAAAGAAGAUUAUUGUAUAAACAAAAUAAACUUAUCAACUGCGGAUAAUAAAGAUAAUAAUAAUAAUAAUAAUAACAACAAUAAUAACAAUAAUAACAACAAUAAUAACAAUAAUAUCAAUAAUAACGUUAUAUCAGACAAUAAACUAACACAAAUAUUAAACAAUUUAUUAAAAUGUAAUGAAAACAAAAUUGAUGAACAUGCUAUAAAAGAAAACAAUUUACAUUUGUUACAUAAUUCAUAUUCUUUUUAUGAUGAAAUGAAUUCAAAAAGCCUUUACAUCAUCGACACAUAUAAUGAUUUUCAAAUAUCCACUCAAUUAAAUGGAUUAUCAAUUUUAUCAUUAAGCAAAUACAGUAAUCUCUUUUUAAACAUUUUAAACGAUCUUAAAAAUACCAAUUCUAAAGACUUCAAACAACUUAUUAAAGAUAAUGUUACAAUCGAAUAUGAUGAGAGAUUAUUAAAUGCUGACACAUCAGGAAAAAGAAAAAAAAAAACAAUUUAUAUUAAUGAACAAAUGGUUAUUUUAAAACUUUUUUAUAAAAACCAAGAAUAUAAAAUUAAAAGUAAAAUUAAUGGCUGGCAAGUCGAUAUCAAUGAAAAUAUUAUACUAAAUCCUCACAUAUUAUUUACUGACACUCAAGAAGCUUGGAUUGUUAUUGUGAAAAAGAAAAAUGACAAAUUACCAAAUACAUUAAGCUAUAUUCAAUAUCAACAAGAAAAGGUAGAAUUCAUUCAACAAUAUGACACUUUGCUUAAUUCUUUUUAAUAAAAAAAGUAUAUGUAUACAUACAAAUUUUAUGUAAAAACUGGUUCCUUUUUAUAUAAAUUGGUAUAUACGUGUAUACACACGCUCUUUUACAUACGCGUACAUAUAUGUUACAACACACUCUUAUAAUAUAAACCAUACCAUACUACAUAUAUAUUUUAUGACGUCAGCAAUUUUUUUUUAAAUUUUCGAAUACCUAAAUUAACCAUUAUAAGUUCAAUUUAUUUGAAGGAAAACUUUUUUUUUUUUUUUUUUUUUUAAGGUUUUUAUCAAUUAAUAAUAUUUUCAUAUAAAUAAAAAUAUUUUAUCUAAUCA
RNAcentral lists this long non-coding RNA (1466 nucleotides) under Piliocolobus tephrosceles (Ugandan red Colobus). Its description in RNAcentral is "lncRNA (ENSPTEG00000013961.1)". The record is from RNAcentral. Lineage: Eukaryota; Metazoa; Chordata; Mammalia; Primates; Cercopithecidae.